Molecule: ribosomal RNA, 490 nt
Filed under: uncultured bacterium
Lineage: Bacteria
Description: partial 16S ribosomal RNA
Rfam family: Bacterial small subunit ribosomal RNA
Source: RNAcentral
AUUGAACGCUGGCGGCAGGCCUAACACAUGCAAGUCGAACGGUAACAGGAAGCAGCUUGCUGCUUCGCUGACGAGUGGCGGACGGGUGAGUAAUGUCUGGGAAGCUGCCUGAUGGAGGGGGAUAACUACUGGAAACGGUAGCUAAUACCGCAUAAUGUCGCAAGACCAAAGAGGGGGACCUUCGGGCCUCUUGCCAUCGGAUGUGCCCAGAUGGGAUUAGCUUGUUGGUGGGGUAACGGCUCACCAAGGCGACGAUCCCUAGCUGGUCUGAGAGGAUGACCAGCCACGCUGGAACUGAGACACGGUCCAGACUCCUACGGGAGGCAGCAGUGGGGAAUAUUGCACAAUGGGCGCAAGCCUGAUGCAGCCAUGCCGCGUGUAUGAAGAAGGCCUUCGGGUUGUAAAGUACUUUCAGCGGGGAGGAAGGGAGUAAAGUUAAUACCUUUGCUCAUUGACGUUACCCGCAGAAGAAGCACCGGCUAACUCCGUG